GUUUAUGGCUCAGUGGUAGAGUGCUCGCUUCGCAUGUGCAAGGCCCUGGGUUCGAUCCUCAGCACAACA
Molecule: transfer RNA, 69 nt
Filed under: Marmota monax (woodchuck)
Lineage: Eukaryota; Metazoa; Chordata; Mammalia; Rodentia; Sciuridae
Description: tRNA.Ala
Source: RNAcentral